This 459-nucleotide ribosomal RNA is filed under the name uncultured bacterium. RNAcentral's name for it is "partial 16S ribosomal RNA". It matches the Rfam family "Bacterial small subunit ribosomal RNA", at positions 338 to 795 of the family's 1533-position model. The record is from RNAcentral.
CCUACGGGCGGCAGCAGUGAGGAAUAUUGGUCAAUGGGCGCGAGCCUGAACCAGCCAAGUCGCGUGAGGGAAGACGGUCCUAUGGAUUGUAAACCUCUUUUGUCGGGGAGCAAAAGACGCCACGCGUGGCGUUCCGAGAGUACCCUAAGAAAAAGCAUCGGCUAACUCCGUGCCAGCAGCCGCGGUAAUACGGAGGAUGCGAGCGUUAUCCGGAUUUAGUGGGUUUAAAGGUUGCGUAGGCGGAAUGCGAAGUCAGCGGUAAAAUCGCGGGGCUCAACCGCGCUCCGCCGGUGAAACUGGCGUUGUUGAGUGGGAGAGAAGUAUGCGGAAUGCGUGUGGGAGCGGUGAUAGGCAUAGAUAUCACGCAGAACUCAGAUUGCGAAGGCAGCAUACCGGCGCACAACUGACGCUGAAGCACGAAAGCGUGGGUAUCGAACAGGAUUAGAUACCCGUGUAGUC